GUGGCCGUAGCUCAAUGGUAGAGUCCCAGAUUGUGAUUCUGGCUGUUGCGGGUUCGAAUCCCGUCGGUCACCCCA
This 75-nucleotide transfer RNA is filed under the name Pseudomonadota bacterium. RNAcentral describes it as "Proteobacteria bacterium tRNA-His". It matches the Rfam family "tRNA". Rfam says of the family: Transfer RNA (tRNA) molecules are approximately 80 nucleotides in length. Their secondary structure includes four short double-helical elements and three loops (D, anti-codon, and T loops). Further hydrogen bonds mediate the characteristic L-shaped molecular structure. tRNAs have two regions of fundamental functional importance: the anti-codon, which is responsible for specific mRNA codon recognition, and the 3' end, to which the tRNAs corresponding amino acid is attached (by aminoacyl-tRNA synthetases). tRNAs cope with the degeneracy of the genetic code in two manners: having more than one tRNA (with a specific anti-codon) for a particular amino acid; and 'wobble' base-pairing, i.e. permitting non-standard base-pairing at the 3rd anti-codon position. RNAcentral also lists the same sequence under 3 other names. Lineage: Bacteria; Pseudomonadati; Pseudomonadota. The record is from RNAcentral.